GUCCACACAGUAAACGAUGAAUACUCGCUGUUUGCGAUAUACAGUAAGCGGCCAAGCGAAAGCAUUAAGUAUUCCACCUGGGGAGUACGCCGGCAACGGUGAAACUCAAAGGAAUUGACGGGGGCCCGCACAAGCGGAGGAACAUGUGGUUUAAUUCGAUGAUACGCGAGGAACCUUACCCGGGCUUAAAUUGCAGUGGAAUGAUGUGGAAACAUGUCAGUGAGCAAUCACCGCUGUGAAGGUGCUGCAUGGUUGUCGU
RNAcentral lists this ribosomal RNA (259 nucleotides) under uncultured bacterium. RNAcentral describes it as "partial 16S ribosomal RNA". It matches the Rfam family "Bacterial small subunit ribosomal RNA", at positions 793 to 1055 of the family's 1533-position model. The record is from RNAcentral.